UACGUAGGCAGCGAGCGUCGUUCGGAGUUACUGGGCGUAAAGAGUGCGUAGGCGGUUUUUUAAGUUUGGUGUGAAAUCUCCCGGCUCAACUGGGAGGGUGCGCCGAAAACUGGAAGGCUUGAGUAUGGGAGAGGUAUGCGGAAUUCCUGGUGUAGCGGUGAAAUGCGUAGAUAUCAGGAGGAACACCUGUGGUGUAGACAGCAUACUGGACCAUCACUGACGCUGAGGCACGAAAGCGUGGGUAGCAAACAGG
RNAcentral lists this ribosomal RNA (253 nucleotides) under uncultured bacterium. Its description in RNAcentral is "partial 16S ribosomal RNA". It matches the Rfam family "Bacterial small subunit ribosomal RNA", at positions 524 to 776 of the family's 1533-position model. The record is from RNAcentral.